This 449-nucleotide ribosomal RNA is filed under the name uncultured bacterium. Its description in RNAcentral is "bacterial SSU rRNA". It matches the Rfam family "Bacterial small subunit ribosomal RNA", at positions 313 to 779 of the family's 1533-position model. The record is from RNAcentral.
UUGGGACUGAGACACGGCCCAAACUCCUACGGGAGGCAGCAGUGGGGAAUAUUGCACAAUGGGGGAAACCCUGAUGCAGCAACGCCGCGUGAGUGAAGAAGUAUUUCGGUAUGUAAAGCUCUAUCAGCAGGAAAGAAAAUGACGGUACCUGACUAAGAAGCCCCGGCUAACUACGUGCCAGCAGCCGCGGUAAUACGUAGGGGGCAAGCGUUAUCCGGAUUUACUGGGUGUAAAGGGAGUGUAGACGGUUUUGCAAGUCUGAAGUGAAAGCCCGGGGCUUAACCCCGGGACUGCUUUGGAAACUGUAGGACUAGAGUGCAGGAGAGGUAAGUGGAAUUCCUAGUGUAGCGGUGAAAUGCGUAGAUAUUAGGAGGAACACCAGUGGCGAAGGCGGCUUACUGGACUGUAACUGACGUUGAGGCUCGAAAGCGUGGGGAGCAAACAGGAUU